Molecule: ribosomal RNA, 622 nt
Filed under: uncultured archaeon
Lineage: Archaea
Description: bacterial SSU rRNA
Rfam family: Archaeal small subunit ribosomal RNA
Source: RNAcentral
UAAUACUCCAUAGAUUAGAGACACUGGAAUGUUCUUUAGUCGAAAGUUCUGGCGCCUUAGGAUGGAUCUGCGGUCGAUUAGGUUGUUGUUGGGGUAACGGCCCAACAAGUCUGUAAUCGAUACGGGUUGUGGGAGCAAGAGCCCGGAGAUGGAAUCUGAGACACGAUUCCAGGCCCUACGGGGCGCAGCAGGCGCGAAAACUUUACAAUGCAGGAAACUGUGAUAAGGGAACUCCGAGUGCCCGUAUACGCGGGCUGUCCAGGUGUUUAAAAAUCAUCUGAAGAAAGGGCCGGGCAAGACCGGUGCCAGCCGCCGCGGUAAUACCGGCGGCUCGAGUGGUGGCCACUAUUAUUGGGCUUAAAGCGUCCGUAGCUGGACCGAUAAGUCUCUUGGGAAAUCCGCCGGCUCAACCGGCGGGCGUCUAAGGGAUACUGUUAGUCUAGGGACCGGGAGAGGUGAGAGGUACUCCGGGGGUAGGAGUGAAAUCCUGUAAUCCCCGGGGGACCACCGAUGGCGAAGGCAUCUCACCAGAACGGCUCCGACAGUGAAGGACGAAAGCUGGGGGAGCGAACCGGAUUAGAUACCCGGGUAAUCCCAGCCGUAAACUAUGCGCGUGAAGUGU